CGGAUUACAACCCGGGAAUGAUCCAGAAAACAAGAUGGAAAAUCAGAUCCCAUUACAAAGACUCCCUUCAGCUGACCCAGACAUGGAACGUCUUUCCAAUUAACAAGCACGGGAUUUUUAGCCAUUGAGCUUUGCAUCCAUAUUGCCAAGACGGCUAUAUGCUUCAAAAUCUUUAGCUUUAGUCAAUACAUUCCCAAAAGGAUUCUCAUACCCCAUGUCACCGAGCAUCAUUCCCACAAUGUGUGCAUCAUCGUGUGUAUGUAAAUGAUUCAGCGUGAUAUUCUGGGUGUUACUAUCUUGAAUAAAUUUUUUUUGGAUCUUGUGCUUCCAGCUUACCACAAACCGAUCACCCAAACUUUCAUUUGCGAUUCAAAACAAAACAGGUUAGAAUGGAUUCAGUCGGUCCUCAUUAUUAACAACAUCUUUUUCUUUUUCUUUUUCAUUCUUUUUCCAUUUUUCCUUUUUUUUGUUGUGGUCGGAUCUUAUGGAGAUUGCCUAUCAUGACCCGCCAUGAAUCAGACCUUGCGUAGUUCGGGCCAAUAAAAGAUAAACAACAAUGAAACAUUUUUUUGGGAUUUUUAAUUUUCAUGAUAAAACAAACUGAGUUUCAAAGGAUUAAAGAUGACCUACAAACUCAAAAAUCAAACAACUCACAUAUUCUAAUAGAAAGAAUUGCAAACUCAAAAACAAACGGCCAGCUAGCGUUCCCUGUUUGUUCAACUCACAUAUUCUAAUAGAAAGAGUUGCAAACUCAAAAAUAAACGGCCAGCUACCUUUCCCUGUUUGUCAAAUUCAACCCAAUGGCUGCUUUUGAAAACGUGGCCCUUUCACAUGAAUUUUGAGGCCGAGGAGUAUUAUGUUAUGACAUUUCACAAACUUGUUUGUUGUUUUACGAAAAUAGCCUUUCAAAAAUUAAAAGAUAUUCUAAGGCUAUCUCUGCAAGAACGGUUUAAGACAUCGCCGAAGCUGGCUUGGCUUAUUUUGACAAAAUUCCAAAUGGCACUCACUUGCCCACUGACUCUUAUUUUCAAAUUGAAAUAAAAGACCUGGUAUUGCAAACACGGCCUUUUAGCACCUCGGGGACGAAGAUUGUAAGCCUGCGUUAGCUAACCAGCCCAAAUCCUAAGACAAUGAUUAAAGGUGGCAGUUAAUGCAAAGUCAGCAUUCCGGCAUCCCUUUCGGGAACAUUCGGCUAUUUUCGGCAAAAAGAGCAUCACCGACUUAUUUUUGACUCUUUUCUUUUCUUUUUUUUUUCAAAACGGGAGACCCAAUAUUGCAAACACGACCUUCCAGCUUCUAGAGGAUGAUAAUUUUAAGGCUGUGUGGGUCAACCGGCCAAAAAUCUAAAGAAUGACCAAAGGUGGAUGCAAAGUCAGCCUUCCGGCAUCCCUUUCGAGAAUAUUCGGCUAUUUUUGACAAAAACGGCAUCACCCGACUUAUUAUGACGACAAUCAAAAUUGACACAUUUGUUUUUUGCUAUUUUAGCAAAAUGGGAGGUUGGACUCGAUGUGGUUGCCUACGUAUCUCACACCCAGUGAGAAUCAAACCAGCGUAGUUCAAAAAAUUAACCAAACUAUUUUAAAACAGGACUCAUUUUUAUUUUUAUUUUUGGCAUUUCAU
Molecule: long non-coding RNA, 1620 nt
Filed under: Nicotiana benthamiana
Lineage: Eukaryota; Viridiplantae; Streptophyta; Magnoliopsida; Solanales; Solanaceae
Description: long non-coding RNA (NBEN_LNC019318)
Source: RNAcentral